CCUACGGGAUGCAGCAGUGAGGGAUAUUGGUCAAUGGGGGAAACCCUGAACCAGCAACGCCGCGUGAGGGAAGACGGUUUUCGGAUUGUCAACCUCUGUCCUCUGUGAAGAUAAUGACGGUAGCAGCGUAUGCCGCUCCGGCUAACUACGUCCCAGCAGCCGCGGUACUACGUAGGGAGCGAGCGUUGUCCGGAUUUACUGGGUGUAAAGGGUGCGUAGGCGGGCUUGCAAGUCAGAAGUGAAAUCUAUGGGCUUAACCCAUAAACUGCUUUUGAAACUGUAAGUCUUGAGUGAAGUAGAGGUAGGCGGAAUUCCCGGUGUAGCGGUGAAAUGCGUAGAGAUCGGGAGGAACACCAGUGGCGAAGGCGGCCUACUGGGCUGUAACUGACGCUGAGGCACGAAAGCGUGGGUAGCAAACAGGAUUAGAUACCCUAGUAGUC
This 440-nucleotide ribosomal RNA is filed under the name uncultured bacterium. RNAcentral's name for it is "partial 16S ribosomal RNA". It matches the Rfam family "Bacterial small subunit ribosomal RNA", at positions 338 to 795 of the family's 1533-position model. The record is from RNAcentral.